AGCAGUAGCCGCGGUAAUACGUAGGGCGCAAGCGUUAUCCGGAAUUAUUGGGCGUAAAGAGCUCGUAGGCGGUUUGUCGCGUCUGCCGUGAAAGUCCGGGGCUCAACCCCGGAUCUGCGGUGGGUACGGGCAGACUAGAAUGAUGUAGGGGAGACUGGAAUUCCUGGUGUAGCGGUGAAAUGCGCAGAUAUCAGGAGGAACACCGAUGGCGAAGGCAGGUCUCUGGGCAUUAACUGACGCUGAGGAGCGAAAGCAUGGGGAGCGAACAGGAUUAGAUACCCCCGUAGUCCCUGUCUCUUAUAC
Molecule: ribosomal RNA, 303 nt
Filed under: uncultured bacterium
Lineage: Bacteria
Description: partial 16S ribosomal RNA
Rfam family: Bacterial small subunit ribosomal RNA
Source: RNAcentral